GUUUUCAUUUCUUCCUUCUUCUCCUUCAGAAACGAGCAGAGAAUUUCCCAGAGGAGAUGGGUUGAUUGAUUUGGUAUCAAGUUCUAGGGUUUGCAACAAUUUUUAGAUUCGAUUCAUAUUGUUGCAAAACAGACAAGGAAAAACUCGUCUUGCAAAGUACUACGUUCCUCUUGAAGAAUCUCAGAAGCACAAGGUUGAAUACGAGUAUGUAUUAUGUAGAAAAAAAGAUGGCUUCUCUAUCAAGUGAUGAUAACGUAGAUGAUAUCCGCACAUGGCCACAGUAUAUUGUGGAUUACUUUGUUCAAUUGGUUCAUGAUGAAGCCAAAAAUGGGUUACAAACCACUACAUUGGAGAAGAAGAAAUGGGGAGAAAUAGAUAAUGCUCUCUUUGCUAAGUUUGGUAA
Papaver somniferum (opium poppy) is the source of this 403-nucleotide long non-coding RNA. RefSeq lists it as uncharacterized. The record is from RefSeq and is a predicted model, not a curated record. The transcript has 4 exons. NCBI's taxonomy places the organism in Eukaryota, Viridiplantae, Streptophyta, Magnoliopsida, Ranunculales, Papaveraceae.